This 584-nucleotide ribosomal RNA is filed under the name bacterium 4878K2-B12. RNAcentral's name for it is "bacterial SSU rRNA". It matches the Rfam family "Bacterial small subunit ribosomal RNA", at positions 74 to 650 of the family's 1533-position model. RNAcentral also lists the same sequence under 1 other name. The record is from RNAcentral.
GAUAGCUUGCUAUCAAUGCUGACGAGCGGCGGACGGGUGAGUAAUGCCUGGGAAUAUGCCCUGAUGUGGGGGAUAACUAUUGGAAACGAUAGCUAAUACCGCAUAAUCUCUUCGGAGCAAAGAGGGGGACCUUCGGGCCUCUCGCGUCAGGAUUAGCCCAGGUGGGAUUAGCUUGUUGGUGGGGUAAUGGCUCACCAAGGCAACGAUCCCUAGCUGGUCUGAGAGGAUGAUCAGCCACACUGGAACUGAGACACGGUCCAGACUCCUACGGGAGGCAGCAGUGGGGAAUAUUGCACAAUGGGGGAAACCCUGAUGCAGCCAUGCCGCGUGUAUGAAGAAGGCCUUCGGGUUGUAAAGUACUUUCAGUUGUGAGGAAGGCGUUGAUGUUAAUAGCUUCAGCGUUUGACGUUAGCAACAGAAGAAGCACCGGCUAACUCCGUGCCAGCAGCCGCGGUAAUACGGAGGGUGCGAGCGUUAAUCGGAAUUACUGGGCGUAAAGCGCAUGCAGGUGGUCUGUUAAGCAAGAUGUGAAAGCCCGGGGCUCAACCUCGGAACAGCAUUUUGAACUGGCAGACUAGAGUACU